This 1666-nucleotide long non-coding RNA is filed under the name Spirodela polyrhiza (greater duckweed). Its description in RNAcentral is "long non-coding RNA (SPOL_LNC001077)". The record is from RNAcentral. Lineage: Eukaryota; Viridiplantae; Streptophyta; Magnoliopsida; Alismatales; Araceae.
AUCCCCGUCUGAUCAUUACUUGAUGACGCCUGCUUCAAAAGAUGCAACAGCGGUUGACCUCAGACGCAUGACGAUUAUGUCCUCUCGUGAGAGCCCCUCCUCUAAGGGUUGAAGUCAUCAGGAGUCACGCCCUCUCUUUUUCUAAUUUUUGCAUGCAAUUUUGCCAGAGGAAAACUAAAUUCUGACUGUAAGUUUUAUUGUUUCUCAGUGAUCAUGAGUGAUUUCUAUCUUUAUUUUAUUCUCGUUUCCUCUCAGGAAGUAAAUGAACUGAAAUCAUGAACCAGUUGCUUCGAUUAUCUUUAUCCUUGCAAAUUAAUUUGGGCGGAAAAAUUUUACAUUUUCCCAAUGGAAUUUUUUCCCCCAUCUUCCUUCUGCCCAAUUAUGCGGAAGCUGUUAGAGUGAUGCUUGGUGUUUAUAUACCAUUAUCUGAACUGAAAUCCAGCCACUUAUUUAACAUUUAAUUGUAGGAGAAUGGGCUCAUUUUUCUCAGAAAAAAAAGCCCUUCUUCGUUUCGUAUCAUUGAACAUCCCGCCGCUGGAUCGAUUCUCUUCCUGUAAUCAUCUUCUCCUUGGUGUCUGCCAAACUGCAGCGACCAUCUCCCCAUCUCUGGUGAAGCAGCUCCGCGAGGAGACCGGAGCAGGGAUGAUGGACUGCAAGAAGGCUCUGGCGGAGACCGGCGGCGACCUUGGCAAGGCCAAGGAGCUCCUCAGGAAGAAGGGCCUAGCGAGCGCCGACAAGAAGGCGAGCAGAGCCACGGCGGAGGGAAGAAUCGCCUCCUACAUCCACGACGGCCGGAUCGGAGUGCUCAUAGAAGUCAACUGCGAGACGGACUUCGUCUCGCGGGGCAGCGUAUUCAAGGAGCUGGUCAACGACAUCGCCAUGCAGGUCGCCGCCAGCCCGCAGGUCGAGUACCUGGCCCCCGAGGACGUCCCCGAGGAGACGGUCAAAAGGGAGAGGGAGAUCGAGAUGCAGAAGGAGGACCUCCUGUCGAAGCCCGAGCAGUUCAGAUCGAAGAUCGUGGACGGCAGGAUCAGGAAGCGGCUGGAGGAGCUGGCCCUCCUCGAGCAGCCGUACAUCAAGAACGACAAGGUCGUCGUCAAGGACUUGGUGAAGCAGACCAUCGCCACCGUCGGGGAGAACAUCAAGGUCAAGAGGUUCGUCCGGUUCAACCUCGGCGAGGGCCUGGAGAAGAAAAGCCAGGACUUUGCGGCGGAGGUCGCCGCCCAGACGGCGGCGAAACCAGCGGAGGCCCCCCCGGCGAAGAAGGAGGAGGAGCCCGCCGGCGCGGAGGCGGCGGCGGCGGCGGCGGCGGCUGCGGAGAAGUAUGCAGCUCAGUUAGUAUCGUCUGUUGACGCCGAGCGCGGCGUGGUAUUAAACAUGGAUGGGCGCGAUUUUGUCUUUGCUUUUCAGGCCUCCGGCGGCGGCGAUAUCGGCGGCUCUGGUCAAGCGGCUCCGGGAGGAGACCGGCGCCGGCAUGAUGGACUGCAAGAAGGCUCUCACGGCGACCGGCGGCGACCUCGAGAAGGCGCAGGAGUAUCUGAGGAAGAAGGGCCUCCUGUCGGCCGACAAGAAGGCCUCGCGGGUGGCCGCCGAGGGCCGCGUCGGGUCCUACGUCCACGAUUCCCGGAUCGGGGUCCUGAUCGAAGUCAACUGCGAGACGGACUUC